CUAGUCAUCGGAGAGCUCUCUUUGGGCUUUCCAAAAAGGUAUCACAUGCCAAGUUUGGCCUCACAGUCUAAAAGUUAUAGAGUCAUACAUUUUUAACAAAACAAAAUAGAGAAAAACCGAAAAAAAAGAGGGAUGCAACACGAGGACUUUCUGGGAGGUAAUCUAUCCUAGUACUACUCUCGCCCAAGCACCCUUAACUGCGGAGUUCUGAUGGGAUCCGGUGCAGUAGUGCUGGUAUGAUCGCAUGUGUUACUACAUGCAAUGUAAUCGUAUCUAUUCUUUUUUAAAGACUUUAUGAUCCAUUUGCCGUGAGUCCCACCAGCUAUGUAGGAAUAUUCUAUCUUCUUUAUAAGAGCUUUGAUACAUGCAAAAUACUGGAAAACAAUGUCCGAACAUAUAAUUUUCCCCCCGUAAUAUAGCAAAGAUCACGAAAAGGCCCAGAAAAGUACAUUUAGUUCAAAAUUUGGAGUAGAAAAAAAAACAAUAGAAGAAUUCCAUUUUCCUUCCUCAAUCAUCGGAGAGCUCUCUUUGGGCUUUCCGAAAAGGUAUCUCAUGCCAAGUUUGGCCUCACGAACUAAAAGUUAUAGAGUCAUACAUUUUUAACAAAACAAAAUAGAGAAAAACCGAAAAAAGAGGGAUGCAACACAAGGACUUUCCGGGAGGUCACCCAUCCUAGUACUACUCUCGCCCAAGCACCCUUAACUGCGGAGUUCUGAUGGGAUCCAGUGCAUUAGUGCUGGUAUGAUCGCAUGUGUUACUACAUGCAAUGUAAUCGUAUCUAUUCUUUUUUAAAGAUUUUAUGAUCCAUUUGCCGUGGGUCCCACCAGCUAUGUAGGAAUACCCUAUCUUCUUUAUAAGAGCUUUGAUACAUACAAAAUAUUGGAUCACAAUGUCAGAACAUAUAAUUUUCCCCCCUUAAUAUAGCAAAGUUCACUAAAAGGCCCGAAAAAAUACAUUUAGUUCAAAAUUUGGAGUAGAAAAAAAAACAAUAGAAGAAUUUCAUUUUCCUUCCUCAGUCAUCGGAGAGCUCUCUUUGGGCUUUCCAAAAAGGUAUCACAUGCCAAGUUUGGCCUCACAGUCUAAAAGUUAUAGAGUCAUACAUUUUUAACAAAACAAAAUAGAGAAAAACCGAAAAAAGAGGGAUGCAACACGAGGACUUUCCCGGAGGUAAUCUAUCCUAGUACUACUCUCGCCCAAGCACCCUUAACUGCGGAGUUCUGAUGGGAUCCGGUGCAGUAGUGCUGGUAUGAUCGCAUGUGUUACUACAUGCAAUGUAAUCGUAUCUAUUCUUUUUUAAAGACUUUAUGAUCCAUUUGCCGUGAGUCCCACCAGCUAUGUAGGAAUAUUCUAUCUUCUUUAUAAGAGCUUUGAUACAUGCAAAAUACUGGAAAACAAUGUCCGAACAUAUAAUUUUCCCCACGUAAUAUAGCAAAGAUCACGAAAAGGCCCGAAAAAGUACAUUUAGUUCAAAAUUUGGAGUAGAAAAAAAAACAAUAGAAGAAUUUCAUUUUCCUUCCUCAGUCAUCGGAGAGCUCUCUUUGGGCUUUCCAAAAAGGUAUCACAUGCCAAGUUUGGCCUCACAGUCUAAAAGUUAUAGAGUCAUACAUUUUUAACAAAACAAAAUAGAGAAAAACCGAAAAAAAAGAGGGAUGCAACACGAGGACUUUCUGGGAGGUAAUCUAUCCUAGUACUACUCUCGCCCAAGCACCCUUAACUGCGGAGUUCUGAUGGGAUCCGGUGCAGUAGUGCUGGUAUGAUCGCAUGUGUUACUACAUGCAAUGUAAUCGUAUCUAUUCUUUUUUAAAGACUUUAUGAUCCAUUUGCCGUGAGUCCCACCAGCUAUGUAGGAAUAUUCUAUCUUCUUUAUAAGAUCUUUGAUACAUGCAAAAUACUGGAAAACAAUGUCCGAACAUAUAAUUUUCCCCCCGUAAUAUAGCAAAGAUCACGAAAAGGCCCAGAAAAGUACAUUUAGUUCAAAAUUUGGAGUAGAAAAAAAAACAAUAGAAGAAUUCCAUUUUCCUUCCUCAAUCAUCGGAGAGCUCUCUUUGGGCUUUCCGAAAAGGUAUCUCAUGCCAAGUUUGGCCUCACGAACUAAAAGUUAUAGAGUCAUACAUUUUUAACAAAACAAAAUAGAGAAAAACCGAAAAAAGAGGGAUGCAACACAAGGACUUUCCGGGAGGUCACCCAUCCUAGUACUACUCUCGCCCAAGCACCCUUAACUGCGGAGUUCUGAUGGGAUCCAGUGCAUUAGUGCUGGUAUGAUCGCAUGUGUUACUACAUGCAAUGUAAUCGUAUCUAUUCUUUUUUAAAGAUUUUAUGAUCCAUUUGCCGUGGGUCCCACCAGCUAUGUAGGAAUACCCUAUCUUCUUUAUAAGAGCUUUGAUACAUACAAAAUAUUGGAUCACAAUGUCAGAACAUAUAAUUUUCCCCCCUUAAUAUAGCAAAGUUCACUAAAAGGCCCGAAAAAAUACAUUUAGUUCAAAAUUUGGAGUAGAAAAAAAAACAAUAGAAGAAUUUCAUUUUCCUUCCUCAGUCAUCGGAGAGCUCUCUUUGGGCUUUCCAAAAAGGUAUCACAUGCCAAGUUUGGCCUCACAGUCUAAAAGUUAUAGAGUCAUACAUUUUUAACAAAACAAAAUAGAGAAAAACCGAAAAAAAGAGGGAUGCAACACGAGGACUUUCUGGGAGGUAAUCUAUCCUAGUACUACUCUCGCCCAAGCACCCUUAACUGCGGAGUUCUGAUGGGAUCCGGUGCAGUAGUGCUGGUAUGAUCGCAUGUGUUACUACAUGCAAUGUAAUCGUAUCUAUUCUUUUUUAAAGACUUUAUGAUCCAUUUGCCGUGAGUCCCACCAGCUAUGUAGGAAUAUUCUAUCUUCUUUAUAAGAGCUUUGAUACAUGCAAAAUACUGGAAAACAAUGUCCGAACAUAUAAUUUUCCCCCCGUAAUAUAGCAAAGAUCACGAAAAGGCCCGAAAAAGUACAUUUAGUUCAAAAUUUGGAGUAGAAAAAAAAACAAUAGAAGAAUUCCAUUUUCCUUCCUCAAUCAUCGGAGAGCUCUCUUUGGGCUUUCCGAAAAGGUAUCUCAUGCCAAGUUUGGCCUCACGAACUAAAAGUUAUAGAGUCAUACAUUUUUAACAAAACAAAAUAGAGAAAAACCGAAAAAAGAGGGAUGCAACACAAGGACUUUCCGGGAGGUCACCCAUCCUAGUACUACUCUCGCCCAAGCACCCUUAACUGCGGAGUUCUGAUGGGAUCCAGUGCAUUAGUGCUGGUAUGAUCGCAUGUGUUACUACAUGCAAUGUAAUCGUAUCUAUUCUUUUUUAAAGAUUUUAUGAUCCAUUUGCCGUGGGUCCCACCAGCUAUGUAGGAAUACCCUAUCUUCUUUAUAAGAGCUUUGAUACAUACAAAAUAUUGGAUCACAAUGUCAGAACAUAUAAUUUUCCCCCCUUAAUAUAGCAAAGUUCACUAAAAGGCCCGAAAAAAUACAUUUAGUUCAAAAUUUGGAGUAGAAAAAAAAACAAUAGAAGAAUUUCAUUUUCCUUCCUCAGUCAUCGGAGAGCUCUCUUUGGGCUUUCCAAAAAGGUAUCACAUGCCAAGUUUGGCCUCACAGUCUAAAAGUUAUAGAGUCAUACAUUUUUAACAAAACAAAAUAGAGAAAAACCGAAAAAAAGAGGGAUGCAACACGAGGACUUUCUGGGAGGUAAUCUAUCCUAGUACUACUCUCGCCCAAGCACCCUUAACUGCGGAGUUCUGAUGGGAUCCGGUGCAGUAGUGCUGGUAUGAUCGCAUGUGUUACUACAUGCAAUGUAAUCGUAUCUAUUCUUUUUUAAAGACUUUAUGAUCCAUUUGCCGUGAGUCCCACCAGCUAUGUAGGAAUAUUCUAUCUUCUUUAUAAGAGCUUUGAUACAUGCAAAAUACUGGAAAACAAUGUCCGAACAUAUAAUUUUCCCCCCGUAAUAUAGCAAAGAUCACGAAAAGGCCCGAAAAAGUACAUUUAGUUCAAAAUUUGGAGUAGAAAAAAAAACAAUAGAAGAAUUCCAUUUUCCUUCCUCAAUCAUCGGAGAGCUCUCUUUGGGCUUUCCGAAAAGGUAUCUCAUGCCAAGUUUGGCCUCACGAACUAAAAGUUAUAGAGUCAUACAUUUUUAACAAAACAAAAUAGAGAAAAACCGAAAAAAGAGGGAUGCAACACAAGGACUUUCCGGGAGGUCACCCAUCCUAGUACUACUCUCGCCCAAGCACCCUUAACUGCGGAGUUCUGAUGGGAUCCGGUGCAUUAGUGCUGGUAUGAUCGCCCGUGUUACUACAUGCAAUGCAAUCGUAUCUAUUCUUUUUUAAAGAUUUUAUGAUCCAUUUGCCGUGGGUCCCACCAGCUAUGUAGGAAUACCCUAUCUUCUUUAUAAGAGGUUUGAUACAUACAAAAUAUUGGAUCACAAUGUCAGAACAUAUAAUUUUCCCCCCUUAAUAUAGCAAAGAUCACUAAAAGGCCCGAAAAAAUACAUUUAGUUCAAAAUUUGGAGUAGAAAAAAAAACAAUAGAAGAAUUCCAUUUUCCUUCCUCAGUUAUCGGAGAACUCUCUUUGGGCUUUCCGAAAAGGUAUCACAUGCCAAGUUUGGCCUCACGGUCUAAAAGAUAUAGAGUCAUACAUUAUUAACAAAACAAAAUAGAGAAAAACCGAAAAAAAGAAGGAUGCAACACGAGGACUUUGCG
This 4703-nucleotide small RNA is filed under the name Arabidopsis thaliana (thale cress). RNAcentral describes it as "ATSL164350". The record is from RNAcentral. Lineage: Eukaryota; Viridiplantae; Streptophyta; Magnoliopsida; Brassicales; Brassicaceae.